This is a long non-coding RNA of Ictalurus punctatus (channel catfish), 2779 nucleotides long. The record is from Ensembl. Lineage: Eukaryota; Metazoa; Chordata; Actinopteri; Siluriformes; Ictaluridae.
UUCAAGACUUGGAAGUAAACGCCCACUGCUGUGACCGGGUCAUUUUCAACGCCCUCGCCAUUACACGUGUGGGAUUGUUUUGAAAACUUCCGAUGACCGCUUUAAUGCUGUACUAACGUUGCUUUGCCACGCUGGCUUUGAUUUAGGGCUUUUUUAGACUUGGUCUGAAUGCUCGAGUCGGCACCCAGGACCGAUUCUGGACUUGUUUGGGGGCGGGGUUUAUAAUCGCAGCUUUUGGACUGACGCAUCGAUUUAAAAGGCAGUGAUUUGAAAAGCAAUGACUUGAUGCAACAGUCAUAAAUAAAUGAUUAUCGGCCGAUAUUAUCAAGGCCUACUACAGAUUCUGAAACAAAGUCGGUCCCAUAUCGAUCAGAGGCUGCGAAAUCGUACCGUAUCGCAUCGUAGCAGCUUCAGCGUCCUUGUCAGAUAUCAACUCGUUGCCAUCGUCUCGUGUAGAAGCCGGAGGUUUACACUCCUAGUCCGUAUAAGGCUAAGUAAGUAUGAAGGACUUGAUUAAAACGGCUGAAAUAUAUUGCGCACAGUUCAAACAGAUUGGAGGCGUGCUCCCCGGAGAAUCAUCCUCCCUCUGCGAAACACGCUCGCAGCACACGGAAAGAAGUUUUCUGCUAGAUAAUGAGGAGAAGUGAAAUCUCAUCAUCUUCUGAUCCUCUCCUGGAGCGCACUGAUUUCCGCUCGUACCCUGUUUAACAUUUAUCUCGCAGGCCAAUUUAUUAUUCACCCGGACAGGUUAGCAGCAGGAUUAGUGCCACCAGCGUCUGUUUUCUCUACGUCCACAGACUUAAUGACACCGCGGUUAGCGCUGAAACCUGACAAUAAGGAGCGACUCUUAAUGGGAGGAGAGCAGCUGCACCACCACCCCCGGUUCAGAAAACCUCCAGUUUGUUUUACUUUAAUCACCAAUCCGGAGUGUGAGCUUAUCAGACCCGAGUGCCGUCGCUGUCUCACGGUGGCAUUUCUCUCUUGACCCGAGCGACGGCUGCUUUCACAGAACGCCACUCUUCUUUUUUUUUUCCUCCUCUCUCUUCUCGUCAUGUGUCGUUCGGCUCAGACGUGCCGAACGCGUAUCCCUGCAAUCUGCUCAGAGAAAGAAAACGAAAAUAAGGAGACAAAAAUAGUGCAGUGGUAUUUAAUGAUUCAUUUAUUUGUAUUAUUAUUUUGUUGUUGCUGUUGUUUUAAAUAACACAGAUGGCGAGUCCAUGGUGUAUCGGUGCCAUUUAGCCUUUGUAACUUUUAAACAUUAAACUCCUUUUUUUUGUUUGUUUGUUUGUUUGUUUUUUUAAAUCGCUUUCCAACAUUAAUUUUUGAAAUCUAUUUUCUUUAAGCAAAGGUUUUUUUGUUUUGUUUUUUUGCUGCAUUUUGCUACAAUUAGUAACCGGUUUGAACGUUUAUUUUAAAAUAUAUAUAUAUAUAUAUAUAUAUAUUAAUUAGCAAACAUACAAAACGUGCUUAAUAUUCUAAUUUACUUACUUUUUUUUUUAUUUACUUUCCGUGUUGAAUUCCCGCACCGUGUUUAUACGACAACAACAUGAUUACGGGAAGAAGAAAAAAAUGCAGAAAGGACUUUUGUUUUUUUUCCUAUGAUCGUCAGAAAGAUUCAAAUGAUGUAACUUCCUGUUGAACAGGAAGCGACUUGUGGAAUAUACCGUGGAAAGUGUUUCAUAAUGGCGAAUGCGGUCAGUUAACAGGGUUGAGUGAAUGCUUUUGUUUUUAUUAAUUUUUUUUUAUCAGUUUUCCUUUUUGCAAUUUCAUAUACGGUACUUUGCUAGUAAUAGUCCUUCAUAUUUAUUUUUUAAUCAAUGAGACAAUUAAUUCAUGAAUAAUUAUAUAUGAACAUCUUGACGUGUGUAUUAUUGAGUGGUUUUACUGUAGGUGGUGUACGGCAUGUGGUAGUCUAGUGAGAACUUUACACUAAAGCAUGGUACAUCCAUCCAUCCAUCUUCUAUACCGCUUAUCCUUUUUCUUCAGGGUCACGGGGAACCUGGAGCCUAUCCCAGGGAGCAUGGGGCACAAGGCAGGGUACACCCUGGACAGGGUGCCAAUCCAUCGCAGGGCACAAUCACAUACACACUCACACACCCAUUCAUAAACUACAGACACUUUAGACACGCCGAUCAGCCUACCAUGCAUUCCAAAGACGUGCGCGGUAGGCCGAUGGGCAUCUCUAAAUUGUCUGUUGUGUGUAGGUCAGUGGUUAAGACGUUGGGCUACUGCUUAGAAGGUCGUGAGUUCCGAACCCCAGCACGAUCAAACUGCCACUGUUGGGCCCUUGGGCAAGGCCCUUAAUCCACAACUGCUCAAAUGUAUAGAUGAGAUAAGUGUAAGUCGCUCUGGAUAAGGGCGUCUGCCAAAUGCCAUAAUGCCGGGGUGCUCUGCAAAGGGGUCGGCACCCCGUCCAGGUACCCCGGGUUCCCUGGGACAGGAUCCAGGCUCCCCGCGACCCUGUGUAGGAUGAGCAGUAUGGAAAAUGGCUGGAUGGGAUCGCAGGUUUUUAUUUUCCUUUUUUUAAGAAUACAAUUCGGACUCUUCCCUCUGUGACGUGUCACUCAACUUUGCCUACAUGAAACCUACCAUUUUCUACUGAAAGAGCCGUAAUGCUGUCAGACGUUCACAUCACAUCUCGUCUUUCGGAGAGAGUUUGCGGCUUGUCGCCACCGAGUACGAUCAGUCUCACACAUUUGAUUGGCCGGUUUCUGAGAGUGACAUCAAUGCUCUCUCCAAGAGGUACAGCAAAGACUCUGUCUGCCUCGCUGUUUCACCC